Molecule: ribosomal RNA, 1119 nt
Filed under: uncultured fungus
Lineage: Eukaryota; Fungi
Description: eukaryotic LSU rRNA
Rfam family: Eukaryotic large subunit ribosomal RNA (bases 541-1119)
Source: RNAcentral
GAUCAUUAACGUGCUACGGAGGUCUCCUCGAAGGGGGGGAUCUACGUCUGCCCACCCUUGGUUACCUGACCUGUUGCUUUGGCGGGCCUGUCGCGAGGCGGCCUGGAAAACUUGAGUUUUUGGGCUCGUGUCCGCCAGAGUUUCACUAAAUUCUGGAUAAAAAGGUUGUGCUGUCUGAGCGUGCAAGCGCAAAUUUAUACAAAACUUUCAACAACGGAUCUCUUGGUUCCGGCAUCGAUGAAGAACGCAGCGAAAUGCGAUAAGUAAUGUGAAUUGCAGAAUUCCGUGAAUCAUCGAAUCUUUGAACGCAUAUUGCGCCCUCUGGUAUUCCGGAGGGUAUGCCUGUCCGAGCGUCAUUUUCACUUUCAAGCACGGCUUGUGUUGGGCUCUUGUUCCUUAUAGGACAGGCCUGAAAUGCAGCAGCAGUACCUUAAUCUGGUGCCCGAGUGUAUGGGGCUUUGUCACACGCUCCGGUGGCCUAGGUUGGUACUCGCUUUUUGACAGGGGGGUUUUUUUUUUUGUAAAUCCACCCAUUCCAGUUGGCCUCGGAUCAGGUAGGGAUACCCGCUGAACUUAAGCAUAUCAAUAAGCGGAGGAAAAGAAACCAACAGGGAUUGCCUCAGUAACGGCGAGUGAAGCGGCAAAAGCUCAAAUUUGAAAUCUGGCUUCCAAGUCUGGAGCCCGAGUUGUAAUUUGCAGAGGAUGCUUCGGGUGUGGCUGCGGUCUAAGUUCCCUGGAACGGGGCGUCAUAGAGGGUGAGAAUCCCGUCUGGGACCGCUGGCUCCGCCCGUGUAAAGCUCCUUCGACGAGUCGAGUUGUUUGGGAAUGCAGCUCUAAAUGGGUGGUAAAUUUCAUCUAAAGCUAAAUAUUGGCCGGAGACCGAUAGCGCACAAGUAGAGUGAUCGAAAGAUGAAAAGCACUUUGAAAAGAGAGUUAAACAGCAUGUGAAAUUGUUGAAAGGGAAGCGCUUGCGACCAGACUCGCUCGCAGAGGCUCAGCCGGCAUGCUUUGGCGGUGCAUUCUUCUGCGGUCGGGCCAGCGUCGGUUCUGACGGUUGGUUAAAGGCCUCCGGAAUGUGUCGUCCUUCGGGGCGGCCUUACAGCCGGGGGUGCAAUGCGA